CUCCUGUCACAGGGGUGAACCAUAGCACAGAACAAUACAGAGAAGAUCAGCACGGCCCCUGUGCAAGACUGCCAUACAAAACAUGAAGCAUUCCAUAUUUUA
Molecule: small nuclear RNA, 102 nt
Organism: Chionomys nivalis (European snow vole)
Lineage: Eukaryota; Metazoa; Chordata; Mammalia; Rodentia; Cricetidae
Source: RefSeq, a predicted model, not a curated record